AAUGUUACUGUUACAGUAGGGAAAAAUCUUUAUUUGUUUUUUUUGUUUCUUUUAUAGAUAAAGUAAAAUGAAUUAUUGGUAUUAUUGAUACUAUUAUAUUCCUUUGAAUUUUUUUUUAGUCAUCUAUGAAGAGGUUCUGUUUUCGUUUUUUUUGAUAGAUACACUAAAAUGAAUUAUUAAUAUUGUUGAUAUUAUUAUUAUCUUACUUUGAUUUUUUUUUUUAGGUGUCUAUGAAGAAGAGGUUGUGUUUUCCAGGUGGCCUGUAAAAAUUGAAUUUUUGCCUCAGUUACAUUGUAAUUUUUUUGUUUUAUCCAAUAAUGCUCAAAGAUUCGAGAUUUAAAAUUCCUUUUUGUAAUUAAUUUUCACACCAUGGUAAUACCAAUUUGUUGUUAUUCAAUGUAAAAGUUUAGUGGAUACUAUCAUGACGCUAGUUGAUUGGAG
RNAcentral lists this long non-coding RNA (441 nucleotides) under Amborella trichopoda. RNAcentral describes it as "long non-coding RNA (ATRI_LNC001812)". The record is from RNAcentral. Lineage: Eukaryota; Viridiplantae; Streptophyta; Magnoliopsida; Amborellales; Amborellaceae.